Molecule: ribosomal RNA, 960 nt
Filed under: Microbacterium imperiale
Lineage: Bacteria; Bacillati; Actinomycetota; Actinomycetes; Micrococcales; Microbacteriaceae
Description: bacterial SSU rRNA
Rfam family: Bacterial small subunit ribosomal RNA
Source: RNAcentral
GGGUGAGUAACACGUGAGCAAUCUGCCCCUGACUCUGGGAUAAGCGCUGGAAACGGCGUCUAAUACCGGAUACGAGCUGCGAUCGCAUGGUCAGUAGCUGGAAAGAAUUUCGGUCAGGGAUGAGCUCGCGGCCUAUCAGCUUGUUGGUGAGGUAAUGGCUCACCAAGGCGUCGACGGGUAGCCGGCCUGAGAGGGUGACCGGCCACACUGGGACUGAGACACGGCCCAGACUCCUACGGGAGGCAGCAGUGGGGAAUAUUGCACAAUGGGCGGAAGCCUGAUGCAGCAACGCCGCGUGAGGGAUGACGGCCUUCGGGUUGUAAACCUCUUUUAGCAGGGAAGAAGCGAAAGUGACGGUACCUGCAGAAAAAGCGCCGGCUAACUACGUGCCAGCAGCCGCGGUAAUACGUAGGGCGCAAGCGUUAUCCGGAAUUAUUGGGCGUAAAGAGCUCGUAGGCGGUCUGUCGCGUCUGCUGUGAAAACCCGAGGCUCAACCUCGGGCCUGCAGUGGGUACGGGCAGACUAGAGUGCGGUAGGGGAGAUUGGAAUUCCUGGUGUAGCGGUGGAAUGCGCAGAUAUCAGGAGGAACACCGAUGGCGAAGGCAGAUCUCUGGGCCGUAACUGACGCUGAGGAGCGAAAGGGUGGGGAGCAAACAGGCUUAGAUACCCUGGUAGUCCACCCCGUAAACGUUGGGAACUAGUUGUGGGGUCCAUUCCACGGAUUCCGUGACGCAGCUAACGCAUUAAGUUCCCCGCCUGGGGAGUACGGCCGCAAGGCUAAAACUCAAAGGAAUUGACGGGGACCCGCACAAGCGGCGGAGCAUGCGGAUUAAUUCGAUGCAACGCGAAGAACCUUACCAAGGCUUGACAUAUAGAGGAAACGGCUGGAAACAGUCGCCCCGCAAGGUCUCUAUACAGGUGGUGCAUGGUUGUCGUCAGCUCGUGUCGUGAGAUGUUGGG